Molecule: ribosomal RNA, 258 nt
Filed under: uncultured bacterium
Lineage: Bacteria
Description: partial 16S ribosomal RNA
Rfam family: Bacterial small subunit ribosomal RNA
Source: RNAcentral
UACGAAGGGGGCUAGCGUUGUUCGGAAUUACUGGGCGUAAAGGGCGCGUAGGCGGCGUGUCAAGUCAGGCGUGAAAGCCCCGGGCUCAACCUGGGAACCGCGCUUGAGACUGCCAAGGCUAGAAUCUGGAGCAGAGGGGGGUAGAAUUCCACGUGUAGCAGUGAAAUGCGUAGAGAUGACGGACGGAACACCGGAUGGCGAAGGCAGCCCCUGGGUCAAGCAUUGCGCUCAUGCACGAAAGCGUGGGGAGCAAACAGG